CGAAAUACAAUUAAAAAAUCAUGUUAUAGAAGACAGAAGAAUAUCAAUAUGUGUUUUCAAUAACUUGGUUUUCAUAGCAAAUCUGAGAGACUGUUUACCGUUUAACUCCUGUCCCAAUCUAAUCUAGUGGGUUCAAAAAGAAGGGACCUCGCUGGAAACAUGAUUGGAUUAAAAGGAUCAGCCUUUUUUGAAUUAAUAGUCGAAGUGGUAACCAGCUAUAAGUCGUAACCUGCUCGUAUGAAAGGAUUUCUCGACGUGAAAUUGUUAAUUUUAGUCAGCAACGCCAAGAAACAGAGCUCGCUCAAGAAACAGAAAAGAAAGAGAAAGAUGAAAAAAUAUU
Hydra vulgaris (swiftwater hydra) is the source of this 340-nucleotide non-coding RNA. Lineage: Eukaryota; Metazoa; Cnidaria; Hydrozoa; Anthoathecata; Hydridae. The record is from RefSeq and is a predicted model, not a curated record.